Molecule: unclassified non-coding RNA, 338 nt
Filed under: soil metagenome
Description: partial contains 5.8S ribosomal RNA, internal transcribed spacer 2, and large subunit ribosomal RNA
Rfam family: 5.8S ribosomal RNA (bases 1-120)
Source: RNAcentral
GAUGAAGAACGCAGUGAAAUGCGAUAAGUAGUGUGAAUUGCAGAAUUCAGUGAAUCAUCGAAUCUUUGAACGCACAUUGCGCCCCUUGGUAUUCCAUGGGGCAUGCCUGUUCGAGCGUCAUUUGUACCUUCAAGCUCUGCUUGGUGUUGGGUGUUUUGUCUCGCCUCUGCGUGUAGACUCGCCUUAAAACAAUUGGCAGCCGGCGUAUUGAUUUCGGAGCGCAGUACAUCUCGCGCUUUGCACUCAUAACGGUGACGUCCAAAAGUACAUUUUUACACUCUUGACCUCGGAUCAGGUAGGGAUACCCGCUGAACUUAAGCAUAUCAAUAAGCGGAGGA